RNAcentral lists this ribosomal RNA (254 nucleotides) under uncultured bacterium. Its description in RNAcentral is "partial 16S ribosomal RNA". It matches the Rfam family "Bacterial small subunit ribosomal RNA", at positions 524 to 776 of the family's 1533-position model. The record is from RNAcentral.
CACGUAGGGGCCAAGCGUUGUCCGGAUUUAUUGGGCGUAAAGAGCUCGUAGGCGGUUCGACAAGUCGGGUGUGAAAACUCCGGGCUCAACCCGGAGACGCCACCCGAUACUGUCGUGACUGGAGGCCGGUAGGGGAGUGGGGAAUUCCCGGUGUAGCGGUGAAAUGCGCAGAUAUCGGGAGGAACACCUAUGGCGAAGGCAGCUCGCUGGGACGUUACUGACGCUGAGACGCGAAAGCGUGGGGAGCAAACAGG